This 503-nucleotide ribosomal RNA is filed under the name Alteromonas stellipolaris. RNAcentral's name for it is "bacterial SSU rRNA". It matches the Rfam family "Bacterial small subunit ribosomal RNA", at positions 382 to 877 of the family's 1533-position model. Lineage: Bacteria; Pseudomonadati; Pseudomonadota; Gammaproteobacteria; Alteromonadales; Alteromonadaceae. The record is from RNAcentral.
CCUGAUGCAGCCAUGCCGCGUGUGUGAAGAAGGCCUUCGGGUUGUAAAGCACUUUCAGUUGUGAGGAAAAGUUAGUAGUUAAUACCUGCUAGCCGUGACGUUAACAACAGAAGAAGCACCGGCUAACUCCGUGCCAGCAGCCGCGGUAAUACGGAGGGUGCGAGCGUUAAUCGGAAUUACUGGGCGUAAAGCGCACGCAGGCGGUUUGUUAAGCUAGAUGUGAAAGCCCCGGGCUCAACCUGGGACGGUCAUUUAGAACUGGCAGACUAGAGUCUUGGAGAGGGGAGUGGAAUUCCAGGUGUAGCGGUGAAAUGCGUAGAUAUCUGGAGGAACAUCAGUGGCGAAGGCGACUCCCUGGCCAAAGACUGACGCUCAUGUGCGAAAGUGUGGGUAGCGAACAGGAUUAGAUACCCUGGUAGUCCACACCGUAAACGCUGUCUACUAGCUGUUUGUGACUUUAAGUCGUGAGUAGCGAAGCUAACGCGAUAAGUAGACCGCCUGGG